UACUAGAGUAGCACUCGCAUAUCAAUAAGCGGAGGAAAAGAAACUAACAAGGAUUCCCCUAGUAACGGCGAGUGAAGCGGGAAGAGCUCAAAUUUGAAAUCUUAAAGGGUUUCCCUUUACGAAUUGUAGUUUAAAGAAGUGUUUUCUGUUGAGGUUUUGGUAAAAGUUCUUUGGAAUAGGACAUCAUAGAGGGUGAGAAUCCCGUAUUUGACCUUUACUUUCAACUUUGUGAUACACUUUCAAAGAGUCGGAUUGUUUGGGAAUGCAGUCCAAAAUGGGUGGUAAAUUUCAUCUAAAGCUAAAUAUUGGCGAGAGACCGAUAGCGAACAAGUACCGUGAGGGAAGGAUGAAAAGAACUUUGAAAAGAGAGUUAAACAGUACGUGAAAUUGUCAAAAGGGAAGCGUUUGACACCAGUGUUGUUUUUCUGAAAAUCAAUUAAAGAACUGUUUAUGCUAAGCUGUUUAGACUUUAUCAGCUAUCUGUUUAGUUUUAGGCUUUUCUUUAAUGCACUUUUCAGUUAACAAGUCAACAUCAAUUUCUUUUGCUGUAAAAAAGCUUGAGGAAGGUGGCUUGAGAUUCGUCUUAAGUGUUUAUAGCCUCUUGCCUAUGCAGUCGGAGAGAUUGAGGUCUGCAGCGUAGAUCCUUCGGGGCUAAAUGCAUUUGUGCUAAGUUAUAGCAUUUUAUAGACAACUUGUUGACUAUGAUUUGUCUUGUAGCUUACUCGCUUAUGUUAUUUUACCUACGCUUAGGAUGUUGAGCGCAUGUCUCUCUCU
This 774-nucleotide ribosomal RNA is filed under the name uncultured Neocallimastigales. RNAcentral describes it as "partial large subunit ribosomal RNA". It matches the Rfam family "Eukaryotic large subunit ribosomal RNA", at positions 20 to 616 of the family's 3401-position model. The record is from RNAcentral. Lineage: Eukaryota; Fungi; Neocallimastigomycota; Neocallimastigomycetes; Neocallimastigales.